UGGGGAAUAUUGCGCAAUGGGGGAAACCCUGACGCAGCGACGCCGCGUGAGCGAAGAAGGCCUUCGGGUUGUAAAGCUCUGUUGUAAGGGACGAAUGUCGUGAGGAAUAAUACGCCUCACGAAUGACGGUACCUUACCAGCAAGCCCCGGCUAACUACGUGCCAGCAGCCGCGGUAAGACGUAGGGGGCGAGCGUUGUCCGGAAUUACUGGGCGUAAAGAGCACGUAGGCGGGACCUUAAGUCAGGUGUGAAAGACCGCAGCUCAACUGCGGGGUUGCACUUGAAACUGGGGUUCUUGAGGGCAGGAGAGGUCAGUAGAAUUCCUGGUGUAGCGGUGAAAUGCGUAGAAAUCAGGAGGAAUACCAGUGGCGAAGGCGACUGACUGGACUGACCCUGACGCUGAGGUGCGAAAGCGUGGGUAGCAAACAGGAUUAGAUACCCUGGUAGUCCACGCCGUAAACGAUGGAUACUAGGUGUGGGAGGUAUCGACCCCUUCCGUGCCGCAGCUAACGCAAUAAGUAUCCCGCCUGGGGAGUACGGCCGCAAGGCUG
RNAcentral lists this ribosomal RNA (551 nucleotides) under uncultured bacterium. RNAcentral describes it as "bacterial SSU rRNA". It matches the Rfam family "Bacterial small subunit ribosomal RNA", at positions 355 to 896 of the family's 1533-position model. The record is from RNAcentral.